RNAcentral lists this unclassified non-coding RNA (212 nucleotides) under plant metagenome. RNAcentral describes it as "partial contains small subunit ribosomal RNA, internal transcribed spacer 1, and 5.8S ribosomal RNA". The record is from RNAcentral.
UUUCCGUAGGUGAACCUGCGGAAGGAUCAUUAAAAAUGAAGCCGGGAAACCGGUCCUUCUAACCCUUGAUUAUCUUAAUUUGUUGCUUUGGUGGGCCGCGCAAGCACCGGCUUCGGCUGGAUCGUGCCCGCCAGAGGACACAACUCUGUAUCAAAUGCUGUCUGAGUACUAUAAAAUAGUUAAAACUUUCAACAACGGAUCUCUUGGUUCUG